CCUCUCAUAGCUCAAUGGUAGAGCGGUGGACUGUAAUACUGAAUACCUUGGGUUCGAAUCCCGUUCAGGUGA
RNAcentral lists this transfer RNA (72 nucleotides) under Daphnia magna. It matches the Rfam family "tRNA". Rfam says of the family: Transfer RNA (tRNA) molecules are approximately 80 nucleotides in length. Their secondary structure includes four short double-helical elements and three loops (D, anti-codon, and T loops). The record is from Rfam by way of RNAcentral. Lineage: Eukaryota; Metazoa; Arthropoda; Branchiopoda; Diplostraca; Daphniidae.